This 497-nucleotide ribosomal RNA is filed under the name uncultured bacterium. Its description in RNAcentral is "partial 16S ribosomal RNA". It matches the Rfam family "Bacterial small subunit ribosomal RNA", at positions 28 to 507 of the family's 1533-position model. The record is from RNAcentral.
GAUGAACGCUGGCGGCGUGCCUAAUACAUGCAAGUCGAGCGAACAGACGAGGAGCUUGCUCCUCUGACGUUAGCGGCGGACGGGUGAGUAACACGUGGAUAACCUACCUAUAAGACUGGGAUAACUUCGGGAAACCGGAGCUAAUACCGGAUAAUAUAUUGAACCGCAUGGUUCAAUAGUGAAAGACGGUUUUGCUGUCACUUAUAGAUGGAUCCGCGCCGCAUUAGCUAGUUGGUAAGGUAACGGCUUACCAAGGCAACGAUGCGUAGCCGACCUGAGAGGGUGAUCGGCCACACUGGAACUGAGACACGGUCCAGACUCCUACGGGAGGCAGCAGUAGGGAAUCUUCCGCAAUGGGCGAAAGCUUGACGGGGCAACGCCGCGUGAGUGAUGAAGGUCUUCGGAUCGUAAAACUCUGUUAUUAGGGAAGAACAAAUGUGUAAGUAACUAUGCACGUCUUGACGGUACCUAAUCAGAAAACCACGGCUAACUACGUG